Molecule: ribosomal RNA, 464 nt
Filed under: uncultured bacterium
Lineage: Bacteria
Description: partial 16S ribosomal RNA
Rfam family: Bacterial small subunit ribosomal RNA
Source: RNAcentral
GACGAACGCUGGCGGCGUGCUUAACACAUGCAAGUCGAACGGAAAGGCCCCUUUGGGGGUCCUCGAGUGGCGAACGGGUGCGUAACACGUGAGUAACCUGCCCUUGACUUCGGGAUAACUUCAGGAAACUGGGGCUAAUACCGGAUAGGAAUUCUUGCUGCAUGGUGGGGGUUGGAAAGCUUCGGCGGUUUUGGAUGGACUCGCGGCUUAUCAGCUUGUUGGUGGGGUAGUGGCUUACCAAGGCUUUGACGGGUAGCCGGCCUGAGAGGGGGACCGGCCACAUUGGGACUGAGAUACGGCCCAGACUCCUACGGGAGGCAGCAGGGGGGAAUAUUGCACAAUGGGCGGAGGCCGGAUGCAGCAACGCCGCGUGCGGGAUGACGGCCUUCGGGUUGUAAACCGCUUUCGGAAGGGGCGAAGCUUGUGGUGACGGUACCUGAAGAAGAAGCACCGGCUAACUACGU